This 434-nucleotide ribosomal RNA is filed under the name uncultured bacterium. Its description in RNAcentral is "bacterial SSU rRNA". It matches the Rfam family "Bacterial small subunit ribosomal RNA", at positions 29 to 508 of the family's 1533-position model. The record is from RNAcentral.
AACGAACGCUGGCGGCAGGCCUAACACAUGCAAGUCGAACGCUCCAGCAAUGGAGAGUGGCAGACGGGUGAGUAACGCGUGGGAACCUUCCCUAUGGUUCGGAAUAGCUCAGGGAAACUUGGGGUAAUACCGGAUAAGCCCUUCGGGGGAAAGAUUUAUCGCCAUUGGAUGGGCCCGCGUCGGAUUAGCUAGUUGGUGGGGUAACGGCCCACCAAGGCAACGAUCCGUAGCUGGUCUGAGAGGAUGAUCAGCCACACUGGGACUGAGACACGGCCCAGACUCCUACGGGAGGCAGCAGUGGGGAAUAUUGGACAAUGGGCGCAAGCCUGAUCCAGCCAUGCCGCGUGAGUGACGAAGGUCUUCGGAUUGUAAAACUCUUUUGGAGGGGACGAUAAUGACGGUACCCGCAGAAUAAGCCCCGGCUAACUUCGUGC